UACGGAGGUGGCAAGCGUUGCUCGGAAUCACUGGGCGUAAAGGGCGCGUAGGCGGGGAGGUAAGUCGGGUGUGAAAUCCCUCGGCCCAACCGAGGAACUGCGCCCGAGACUGCUUCUCUUGAGUCCCGGAGAGGAAGGUGGAAUUCCCGGUGUAGCGGUGAAAUGUGUAGAUAUUGGGAGGAACACCGGUGGCGAAGGCGGCUCUCUGGGCAGUAACUGACGCUGAGGAGCGAAAGCGUGGGGAGCGAACAGG
This 253-nucleotide ribosomal RNA is filed under the name uncultured bacterium. RNAcentral's name for it is "partial 16S ribosomal RNA". It matches the Rfam family "Bacterial small subunit ribosomal RNA", at positions 524 to 776 of the family's 1533-position model. The record is from RNAcentral.